AACAUACUCCCUCCGUUCGAAAUUACUCGUCCAAAAAUUGAAUGUAUCUAGAUGUAUUUUAGUUGUACAUACAUCCAUUUUUGUGACAAGUAAUUCCGAACGGAGGAAGUACAUC
Molecule: non-coding RNA, 115 nt
Organism: Triticum aestivum (bread wheat)
Lineage: Eukaryota; Viridiplantae; Streptophyta; Magnoliopsida; Poales; Poaceae
Source: Rfam